CUUGGCUAUGCGCUUUGGCAGUGUGGUUAGCUGGUUGUGUACUUAAAAUCACAGCCACUAUCUUCACUGCCGCGGCGAAAAGCUCCUC
Molecule: microRNA precursor, 88 nt
Filed under: Phlebotomus papatasi
Lineage: Eukaryota; Metazoa; Arthropoda; Insecta; Diptera; Psychodidae
Description: microRNA mir-449
Rfam family: mir-34 microRNA precursor family (bases 9-79)
About the family: Human mir-34a was discovered computationally and later experimentally verified. The mature sequence is excised from the 5' arm of the hairpin.
Source: RNAcentral